GACGAACGCUGGCGGCGUGCCUAAUACAUGCAAGUAGAACGCAGUUGCGAACGGGGGAGUAAUGCGUAGGUAACUGCCUCAUCGCGGGGGAUAACUAUUGGAAACGAUAGCUAAUACCGCAUACUGUGAGAUGGACCUUAGUGGUAUUAGCUAGUUGGUGAGGUAAAGGCUAACCAAGGCGACGCUACAUCGGCGACCUGAGAGGGUGAGCGGCAAAACGGGGACUGAGACCCGGCCCAGACUCCUACCGGAGGGGGCAGUAGGGAUUCUUCGGCAAUGGACGGAGGGCUGACGGGGCAACGCCGCGGGAGUGAAGAAGGGGUUCGGAUCGUAAAGUUCUGUUGUUAGAGAAGCGGUAACUAACCAGAAAGGGACGGCUAAAUACGUGCAAGCAGCCGCGGUAAUUC
Molecule: ribosomal RNA, 407 nt
Filed under: uncultured bacterium
Lineage: Bacteria
Description: partial 16S ribosomal RNA
Rfam family: Bacterial small subunit ribosomal RNA
Source: RNAcentral